GGGUUUUUUUUUAGAUGGCUUUGCUAGUUUUCUAGCGAAUGGUUCAUUCUUUUUUACUGUGAACUGUUUUAAUUUUUCAGCGUCUGAGGAAUGUCUUUUAGCCAUAGGGAUAGGCUACUAGAAUGUUAACCGAGCUGAAAGUCAGGCUUAGGCCUGGUAUCCUAUUAAUUAUUUACCAAAAGAAUUCAGUAUUAUAAUUGUAACAUAAGCGUAAAAAACUUAUAAAACAACUUUUAACAACGGAUCUCUUGGUUCUCGCAUCGAUGAAGAACGUAGCAAAGUGCGAUAACUAGUGUGAAUUGCAUAUUCAGUGAAUCAUCGAGUCUUUGAACGCAACUUGCGCUCAAUGGUAUUCCAUUGAGCACGCCUGUUUCAGUAUCAAAAACACCCCACAUUCAUAAUUUUGUUGUGAAUGGAAAUGAGAGUUUCGGCUUUAUUGCUGAAUUCUUUAAAAUUAUUAGGCCUGAACUAUUGUUCUUUCUGCCUGAACAUUUUUUUAAUAUAAAGGAAUGCUCUAGUAAAAAGACUAUCUCUGGGGCCUCCCAAAUAAAUCAUUCUUAAAUUUGAUCUGAAAUCAGGCGGGAUUACCCGCUGAACUUAAGCAUAUCAAUAAGCGGAGGAA
RNAcentral lists this ribosomal RNA (622 nucleotides) under Mucor hiemalis. Its description in RNAcentral is "eukaryotic LSU rRNA". The stretch from base 229 to 381 matches the Rfam family "5.8S ribosomal RNA". The record is from RNAcentral. Lineage: Eukaryota; Fungi; Mucoromycota; Mucoromycetes; Mucorales; Mucoraceae.